Molecule: long non-coding RNA, 639 nt
Filed under: Medicago truncatula (barrel medic)
Lineage: Eukaryota; Viridiplantae; Streptophyta; Magnoliopsida; Fabales; Fabaceae
Description: lncRNA gene37832
Source: RNAcentral
AUCACCAAAGAGCGCAAAAUCUCUGAAAUUAUUAAAGAAAAACAAAUACAAAACAAAUUCAAUUAUUGAAUGCCAAAGCAUUAGGUAAACGACAUGUCAUGUAACAUUUUAUCAUCAACUAUAUUUAUUUGAAUUAUAAUAAGGGUAAAGUUUAGUUUGGACCACCAAAUAUAUUGCUCUAACUUACACCACUUCAAUAUAAGUCAUUGAUAUAUUUUAAAUUUAUUGUAACGGACUGGAUCUCAUGAUGACUACAUUUAGUGUAAGUUGCUACAAUGGGGUAUUUUAGUGGUGUAAAUUGGGGCAAUGAAUUUAGUGGUGCAAAGUAAAUGAACCCUUAUAACCCCUAUAACAAGUACAUUGGGUAUUUCUACAUUCCGGUUUUCGAGGAAGCACACACUUAAUUUUUGUUACACAAUGAGAGUCCUCACUACAUUCAAAAAUUACUGUAAUGAUAAAAGAGAAGAUAAAAAUGUUACUAAUUAAAGGGGAUAAAAGGUUAGGUAAGAAGUAAAUAAUAAAAUUGUAAAAUAAUGAAAAAUGACUUACCAGCAUCAUUCAUUGCAAUGAAAAAUAGUGAAAGAAUGUGGAUUGCAAUAUAAACAAACUUAGUGACUUUAGCCAUAUUUUUCCCUUUUG